GUAGCCCUGCCGGUUACUUCGCAAUUGUAUUCUACAAACCCCGCCAGGACCGGAAGGUAGCAACGGUAGUAGAAAUAUGAUGUGCCGAAGGUUUGCUGGUAGGGU
RNAcentral lists this signal recognition particle RNA (105 nucleotides) under Acinetobacter johnsonii. RNAcentral describes it as "Bacteria_large_SRP". It matches the Rfam family "Bacterial small signal recognition particle RNA". From Rfam's summary of the family: The signal recognition particle (SRP) is a universally conserved ribonucleoprotein involved in the co-translational targeting of proteins to membranes. Archaeal SRP consists of a 7S RNA and homologues of the eukaryotic SRP19 and SRP54 proteins. Lineage: Bacteria; Pseudomonadati; Pseudomonadota; Gammaproteobacteria; Moraxellales; Moraxellaceae. The record is from RNAcentral.